UUACUUACCUGGACGGGGUCAAUGGGCGAUCAUUAAGGCCUAUGGCCUAGACCUGUGGCCUCCAUUGCACUUGGGAGGUGCACCUGUCUAAGGUCUCCUCUUAGUAGGAGAGCCUACGUCAUAAUUUGUGGCAGUGGGGGCCUGCGUUCGCGCGGCCCCUGC
Molecule: small nuclear RNA, 162 nt
Filed under: Corchorus capsularis
Lineage: Eukaryota; Viridiplantae; Streptophyta; Magnoliopsida; Malvales; Malvaceae
Description: snRNA U1
Rfam family: U1 spliceosomal RNA
About the family: U1 is a small nuclear RNA (snRNA) component of the spliceosome (involved in pre-mRNA splicing).
Source: Rfam by way of RNAcentral